This 301-nucleotide ribosomal RNA is filed under the name uncultured bacterium. Its description in RNAcentral is "partial 16S ribosomal RNA". It matches the Rfam family "Bacterial small subunit ribosomal RNA", at positions 509 to 807 of the family's 1533-position model. The record is from RNAcentral.
CAGCAGCCGCGGUAAUACGUAGGUGGCAAGCGUUGUCCGGAAUUAUUGGGCGUAAAGCGCGCGCAGGUGGUUUAAUAAGUCUGAUGUGAAAGCCCACGGCUCAACCGUGGAGGGUCAUUGGAAACUGUUAAACUUGAGUGCAGGAGAGAAAAGUGGAAUUCCUAGUGUAGCGGUGAAAUGCGUUGAGAUUAGGAGGAACACCAGUGGCGAAGGCGGCUUUUUGGCCUGUAACUGACACUGAGGCGCGAAAGCGUGGGGAGCAAACAGGAUUAGAUACCCCAGUAGUCCCUGUCUCUUAUAC